CAAAACCCUAGCCACUAGUAGUAGCAACCAGACCUUUUCUUUUUUCAUUCCCCUCUUCUCUCUCUCGUCCCUGCGCCUCCAGACUCCCUCCUUGUCCAUGCCUCCAAUUUCUCCAUUCUUCUUCAUUCUUCUCUCUCCGUUUCUCGAUCUUCUCACUCCAGGCGGCAACACCACCACCACAACCAGUUGCAGCAACUGCAACAGCACCACCUCCACCAGCUGUGGUGGUCUUGCCGCCCAACACAGCCAACAACUAUGCAGCGACCACCUUCAUCUAUGCUUGAGAGGGCUCCGGAUCUGCGGAGUGUGGAGAGAAAGGGUAAAUUUGUAGCCGAAUGCGGAAAAAAAUCUGCUUCAAGCUCCAGAUAUUAAAAAAAA
Molecule: non-coding RNA, 378 nt
Organism: Malus domestica (apple)
Lineage: Eukaryota; Viridiplantae; Streptophyta; Magnoliopsida; Rosales; Rosaceae
Source: RefSeq, a predicted model, not a curated record